UCUAACGUGGCAGAUAAGUGCAUUGGAUUUAAGCUCCAUGAAUAAAGUUUACGCUUUCAUUAGAA
This 65-nucleotide transfer RNA is filed under the name Ateuchotermes sp. CAM021. RNAcentral describes it as "tRNA-Leu". The record is from RNAcentral. Lineage: Eukaryota; Metazoa; Arthropoda; Insecta; Blattodea; Termitidae.